GAUGAACGCUGGCGGCGUGCCUAAUACAUGCAAGUAGAACGCUGAAGGAGGAGCUUGCUCUUCUGGAUGAGUUGCGAACGGGUGAGUAACGCGUAGGUAACCUGCCUGGUAGCGGGGGAUAACUAUUGGAAACGAUAGCUAAUACCGCAUGACAACAGUUAUUGCAUGAUAACUGUUUAAAAGGGGCAACUGCUCCACUACCAGAUGGACCUGCGUUGUAUUAGCUAGUUGGUGAGGUAACGGCUCACCAAGGCGACGAUACAUAGCCGACCUGAGAGGGUUAUCGGCCACACUGGGACUGAGACACGGCCCAGACUCCUACGGGAGGCAGCAGUAGGGAAUCUUCGGCAAUGGACGGAAGUCUGACCGAGCAACGCCGCGUGAGUGAAGAAGGUUUUCGGAUCGUAAAGCUCUGUUGUAAGAGAAGAACGAGUGUGAGAGUGGAAAGUUCACACUGUGACGGUAUCUUACCAGAAAGGGACGGCUAACUACGUG
RNAcentral lists this ribosomal RNA (495 nucleotides) under uncultured bacterium. RNAcentral describes it as "partial 16S ribosomal RNA". It matches the Rfam family "Bacterial small subunit ribosomal RNA", at positions 28 to 507 of the family's 1533-position model. The record is from RNAcentral.